GUAGCUUGCUCCCGGAUGUUAGCGGCGGACGGGUGAGUAACACGUGGGUAACCUGCCUGUAAGACUGGGAUAACUCCGGGAAACCGGAGCUAAUACCGGAUAGUUCCUUGAACCGCAUGGUUCAAGGAUGAAAGACGGUUUCGGCUGUCACUUACAGAUGGACCCGCGGCGCAUUAGCUAGUUGGUGAGGUAACGGCUCACCAAGGCGACGAUGCGUAGCCGACCUGAGAGGGUGAUCGGCCACACUGGGACUGAGACACGGCCCAGACUCCUACGGGAGGCAGCAGUAGGGAAUCUUCCGCAAUGGACGAAAGUCUGACGGAGCAACGCCGCGUGAGUGAUGAAGGUUUUCGGAUCGUAAAGCUCUGUUGUUAGGGAAGAACAAGUGCAAGAGUAACUGCUUGCACCUUGACGGUACCUAACCAGAAAGCCACGGCUAACUACGUGCCAGCAGCCGCGGUAAUACGUAGGUGGCAAGCGUUGUCCGGAAUUAUUGGGCGUAAAGGGCUCGCAGACGGUUUCUUAAGUCUGAUGUGAAAGCCCCCGGCUCAACCGGGGAGGGUCAUUGGAAACUGGGAAACUUGAGUGCAGAAGAGGAGAGUGGAAUUCCACGUGUAGCGGUGAAAUGCGUAGAGAUGUGGAGGAACACCAGUGGCGAAGGCGACUCUCUGGUCUGUAACUGACGCUGAGGAGCGAAAGCGUGGGGAGCGAACAGGAUUAGAUACCCUGGUAGUCCACGCCGUAAACGAUGAGUGCUAAGUGUUAGGGGGUUUCCGCCCCUUAGUGCUGCAGCUAACGCAUUAAGCACUCCGCCUGGGGAGUACGGUCGCAAGACUGAAACUCAAAGGAAUUGACGGGGGCCCGCACAAGCGGUGGAGCAUGUGGUUUAAUUCGAAGCAACGCGAAGAACCUUACCAGGUCUUGACAUCCUCUGACAACCCUAGAGAUAGGGCUUUCCCUUCGGGGACAGAGUGACAGGUGGUGCAUGGUUGUCGUCAGCUCGUGUCGUGAGAUGUUGGGUUAAGUCCCGCAACGAGCGCAACCCUUGAUCUUAGUUGCCAGCAUUCAGUUGGGCACUCUAAGUGACUGCCGGUGACAAACCGGAGGAAGGUGGGGAUGACGUCAAAUCAUCAUGCCCCUUAUGACCUGGGCAC
Molecule: ribosomal RNA, 1154 nt
Filed under: Bacillus sp. PS1(2016b)
Lineage: Bacteria; Bacillati; Bacillota; Bacilli; Caryophanales; Bacillaceae
Description: bacterial SSU rRNA
Rfam family: Bacterial small subunit ribosomal RNA
Source: RNAcentral